UGGAAAACUGCAAGCACGGCAGAUGCCAAAACCCCUUUCCUGUGCCUGAAAGAGAACUUCUGGAGAUUUUCCAAAUGCAGACCAAGAGGGAUUGAGCUCUCCUCUACCCUGCCUGGCCCAGAAGUUCCAUUUCCUACCUCCUUCUAGCAGGGGAGCAGGGGCCUUCCUUGGUGGCCCCCAGGAUGGCCCUAUCUCAGAAAGACACAACCACGACUUCUCUGUAUAAUAGACACCACCACACAGUGUCAGGUACCAUGCUAGUUGAAGGAUAUAAUUGUGAACAAGUGAUGUGUGGGUCUUAGUGUCGAAGAGCUGACAUUGGAGGAUAUCAGAGACAAAAAUCAAGUAAGCAAAUACAGCAUUGUUAACUGCAGUAAGAACGAGGAGGACAGACACAGGCCCACAAGGAGGUCCGGGUGGCUCCUGGCAUCAGGGCCAUAUGUAGCUCAGCUUGGGGUUCAGGGUCCUAACUCCAGCUCUGGCAGGCUGGAGGAAGAGUCCCACAUCCAGAUGAAGUGGCACUUAUGGGUCUGAAAGAUAUAAGCCCGGGUCUAGGGGCUGAGUGGUCCUGUAUGCCAGGGGGCAUGCCAGGAGCUUCACCAUGUUAAUGUGCUUCAUCCAGAGAGGAAGCUGACCACCAGCAAUGCUUGUGAGACUGGCUGCUGGCUGCCUUCUUAUUCUCCUCUUGGGUCAGGGCUGACCCUCUGAUGGGGUGGGGCUGAGGCUGGCCAGCAGGGAGGCCAAGCUGUUGGAUCAGAGGAAGGCGAUGUCAGACACCAGCCCCUGUCACCCACCAGCUCUUCCCUUCCCAUUGUCCCUGGCUGGCCCUGGCCCAGCCUCUCCAGCAUCCUCAUUUGCCUCCCUGCCUCCGGCUCACCCUGCCCACAUAUCCACCAGGGGCUGCCGUUGUUUCUCUGAUUAGUUACUGUGUUGCUGCCAAAUUAAUGCUUCUAAACCAUAUUUUAUAACAGCAGCCUUCAUCUGCAGAGAAUCUUUGAAAAUACUUGGCUUGGCAUUUAAAGUGGUACAAAAAUGUGGCCUUACUGAAUUUUUACAGCUUUAUUUAUCCUUUCAGAGGUGCAUCCUGCACGUAUGUCAAACUGUGGGUCCUCAUCCCUCUGCCACACCUCUGCUCAGUUAUCUUUCUCUCCUUCAACCCCCCUCCCUGCCACCCUCCUGCAUCCCUCUGGGUAGUGAAACAGCCCCUUAUUCAGUCAGCCAGCCUUGCAUUCAGCAGGCUCUGCAGGCUCCCACUCUGUGCCCGCCAUUCCUGGGCAGCACUAGGACCCCCCCUGCUCUGACACCUCAUCCACUUGUUUUGUAAUCUUAUUAAUCUUCAUUUAUUAACUCCUGAAUGAGACCUUAUCCUUCUGCUCCUCUGAACUGUAACCCUUCAAUGGCAGAGGCUGCAUCUUGCCCAUUCCUUGGCCUCAUGGUUCCCUGCCUGUGGCAGGGGUCAAUAAAUGUGCUACAUGACCUGGACUAACAUGGGCUCUGGAAGGAAAGCACUAAAUACUGGCCUGGGGGCUGGAACUCAGUCUCAGCUCUGCCACUUAACUGCUGGAUAGUCUCUGGAACAUUACUGUCUUUUUCUGAGCCCCAGGAUCCCCAGCUAUAACAUGCGGCUGCCAUCCGUGUCUUGGUUACCUUACUAGG
RNAcentral lists this long non-coding RNA (1656 nucleotides) under Homo sapiens (human). Its description in RNAcentral is "HSALNT0382408". Lineage: Eukaryota; Metazoa; Chordata; Mammalia; Primates; Hominidae. The record is from RNAcentral.